UGGGGAAUAUUGCACAAUGGGCGCAAGCCUGAUGCAGCCAUGCCGCGUGUAUGAAGAAGGCCUUCGUGUUGUAAAGUACUUUCAGCGAGGAGGAAGGCGUUGUGGUUAAUAACCGCAGCGAUUGACGUUACUCGCAGAAGAAGCACCGGCUAACUCCGUGCCAGCAGCCGCGGUAAUACGGAGGGUGCAAGCGUUAAUCGGAAUUACUGGGUGUAAAGCGCACGCAGGCGGUCUGUCAAGUCGGAUGUGAAAUCCCCGGGCUCAACCUGGGAACUGCAUCCGAAACUGGCAGGCUAGAGUCUUGUAGAGGGGGGUAGAAUUCCAGGUGUAGCGGUGAAAUGCGUAGAGAUCUGGAGGAAUACCGGUGGCGAAGGCGGCCCCCUGGACAAAGACUGACGCUCAGGUGCGAAAGCGUGGGGAGCAAACA
Molecule: ribosomal RNA, 427 nt
Filed under: uncultured bacterium
Lineage: Bacteria
Description: partial 16S ribosomal RNA
Rfam family: Bacterial small subunit ribosomal RNA
Source: RNAcentral